RNAcentral lists this ribosomal RNA (1231 nucleotides) under metagenome. RNAcentral describes it as "SSU rRNA". It matches the Rfam family "Eukaryotic small subunit ribosomal RNA", at positions 558 to 1783 of the family's 1831-position model. The record is from RNAcentral.
AGUCUGGUGCCAGCAGCUGCGGUAGUACCAGCUCCAAUAGCGUAUAUUAAAGUUGUUGCAGUUAAAAAGCUCGUAGUUGGACUUGUGUGCGCUGUCCGCGGGUGGCCUGCGCCCAAAAGGGCGUUUCGGUUCGGCCCCGGUGGCGCCUUGAAAUCUGCAGCUGGGGGGACGUUGGCCUUAACUGGUCGGCGACCGCACGCCGGCUGCUCGGUUACUGUGAGAAAAUUAGAGUGUUCAAGGCAGGCAUUGGGUGCAAUUGAAUACAUUAGCAUGGAAUAAUAAAAUAUGGCUCCUGCCGUAUUUUGUUGGUUUUGACUGGUGGGAGUAAUGAUUGAUAGGGACGGUUGGGGGUGCUAGUAUUGAGCGGCCAGAGGUGAAAUUCAUGGAUUCGCUCAAGACUAACUUAUGCGAAAGCAUUCACCAAGGACGUCCUCUUUAAUCAAGAACGAAAGUUGGGGGAUCGAAGACGAUCAGAUACCGUCGUAGUCUCAACCAUAAACUAUGUCGACUUGGGAUCGGCGGUAGUUUUUUCAUUAAGACACUGUCGGGACCACGGGAGAAAUCAAAGUGUCUGGACUCUGGGGGAAGUAUGGUCGCAAGGCUGAAACUUGAAGGAAUUGACGGAAGGGCACCACCAGGAGUGGAGCCUGCGGCUUAAUUUGACCCAACACGGGGAAACUUACCAGGUCCAGAGAUGUAGAGGAUUGACAGAUUGAAGCUCUUUCUUGAUCACUUCGGUGGUGGUGCAUGGCCGUUCUUAGUUGGUGGAGUGAUUUGUCUGUUAAUUCCGUUAACGGACGAGACCUCAGCCUGCUAGUGUAGUCGGCUGGAUUGCCUUUGGCGAUCCGUGAUUUCGACUUCUUAGAGGGACAAUCGACGCGCAGUCGAUGGAAGUUUGAGGCAAUAACAGGUCUGUGAUGCCCUUAGAUGUUCUGGGCCGCACGCGCGCUACACUGCUGGGCUCAGCGAGUUUUACUUGGCCGAGAGGCCCGGUUAAUCUUGUGAAAUCCCAGCGUGCUUGGGCUCGCCUCCUGCAACUGGAGGCGCCAACGAGGAAUUCCUAGUAGACGCAGGUCAUCAACCUGCAUCGAUUACGUCCCUGCCCUUUGUACACACCGCCCGUCGUUCCAUAAGAGUGAGGCAUCCGGUGAAUUCUCGGGAGAGCCUGGGCGUGGCCAGCAAUGGUCUGCUCGGGUUUGAACUUGCAUAAACUUGGUGCCUAUGAUUAGGG